AAGUCCAAUCAAUCCAGCCCAGCCGUUCGUCUGAUGCCCAGCGCUCGGCUGAGUUUUUUUACCGGCUAAUUAGCAAUUGCGUUCUUGAAUCGGAGACCAAGCUAGCUGCUAGGUAGGCAACGAAUGAAUCAUAUCCAAAAUUGAAGUAUUUGUAAAGGUGUAGUUAGAUUUCAGUUGACUUAGACUAAGUUGAGUGAUAUUAGCAUGUUUAUUUUUCAAAAAAAUCACCUUUUUUAUUUGGAUUUAUGCUUUCUAAAUUUUAAUACAUGAAUAUAUUUAUCAUUUUUUCAAUCGCGACUCAAUUAAUUGUUUUUAUCUCUCUAAAAACAUUCCAAUAUUUUAUAAUCCCUCUAAAAAUACAUGAAGACGGAGGAGGAUCUCAAAGAUAAAUAUUACUUCUGUACGUUAAUAUAAAACAUUUUUCAGUUUAGUUUACAGAGGGCGUAGUACAUAAUGUUGUUUAGUUGUUGUUUUAAAAAAAUUAUGUAAAAAAUUAUAAUAAAUUUAUGUGAUCAUGAUUUUUUUCAUGAAGACAUAUCUGUGGAUCGUGUAUUGCACGCGCGUUUUCAUUGUUGGGCAUGAGACAUAUUUCAAUGGCUCGGUAAAAAAAGCCCAGUAAUAAGAUUUAAAAUAGAUUUUUUUAAUUAUUAAUUAUAAUACGUGCGUUGCACGUGCACGCUUACUAGUAUAGGAAAGCUGCAGUAGGCUGCUGCGGUUUUGUUCAUGGUGCUACUGGUUUUGUUAAUGUUGGUAUUUGCUUACUGUUUACGACUGCUGCUACUAUGUACUCACUUUAUGAUAUGAAGAUAUGUAUGCUGUUGGCAAGGUUGAAAAAGUGGUAGGCGUAAGCGAGGCGGUUGGCCUUCGCCUAGUGCCUAAGCGCCCUAGGCGCGGCCUAGGCGGUAAUAUAGUUUUUACUCGUAGUAUAUUUGUGAUUAUUAUAUGGGUGUUGAUAUAAGUUUAGGGCAUAUAAAUAAGUUAAUUACCGUCUACUGCCAUUGGAAUAUAACCCAUUUGGCACAUCAGUGCAGUAUGUGGCAUGAUUUCUUGCUUAGGUAGACAAUUCCUUGCUUGCCCUGCCUAGACCUUCAUUUAUGCCUUAGGCGAGGCGUUUGGCCAUUGCCUAGCGCCUAGGCAAGCCUAAGCGCCUCCUAGGCACUGCCUUUUCCAACAGAGGCUGUUGGUGAAAAAGGAUCGGUGCUAUAGCGGUAGGCGUCUGGUGGCUAUGCAGUGGCAUCCGCUACUUAGAUACGUAGCCGGCAACAGUGAGAAGACUUUGAUCUUGAUAUAUUAGAUGUAAGCCCCAUACACCAUAGGAGGUCCUCCUUUUGGUGAUAUCGGCUGGUGAGCUUUCUCCAUCUUCACCCUCUAACACACAUUGGUUCUGCAUUAUGUAUAUGUGGUUUUGAUAAGAAAGGAAUGUUUCUAUCUGAAUGUUAUCCAGUUAUUCUUUCUUUGUCUAAAUCGAUUUAGUAGAAGAGAUAGAGAGAAGCAAUUUACUGGUGUGGUUCAUUUGGGAAAUUUAGUACUUUGUUAUACUGCUUUGUUUUAGGGGAUGAAGUAAAUAGAACAAGAUAUUCCUGGGAUGGAUCUAUAUGUGCUCGUUAUGAUGUCAUGUAAAUUCCACAACACAUUUGUAUGCGUGUAUCCUUCUUAUAGUUAUAGUCAUGCUUGACAGCCUGCAGGCUGAGGCUAACAAUUCUUUUCGUCUCUAUGCCCCUUAUUUCAGUGCAUUGUGCUACUGUAUACUACUGUUACAAUGACAUGUGCAUUUAGUAAAAUCCCUUAAUUAUGGCAACAUGUAAAAAAUAAAUGUUUCCUGAGUGCGGACUGUGGUAUAGAUCCGUGCAAGUUCUGAAACCUGCAAGUACCGAAUUACAUAAUAAUUUUGUAGGAUGAUAAAAAAGAAGAAGGUGAUGAUUCAGUUAUCAAGAGGAUGUGUGAACUCUGAACCUGAAGGACAGGAAAUAAAACAUGAGGAGGAUAAUGGAGGAGAAGAAGAAGCAGACAUUAGGAUAAUAAUGAAAGAGAAUGAGUAGAUAAUAAGAAUGGUAUUGAAAGAGAAGACGAGAUGCACCUUGGCUAAGUAAAGAGCUAGACCUGAAAUUGCCAAUGAAGGGAAUGAGGUCCCUUUCUCUAUUGGUGCCAUCUUAGCUGCCGACUGCCGUCGGUUAGGUGCAUAUUUCGUGAGAUAAUCUCGUUCUAACAUGUCUCUGAUUUUGAUUUUUUUCUGCGGAUUUCAGAAUAUAGAAGGCAGCUUCUCAGAGGGGUCACUGACGAGUAAGUGAAAUAAGUCCUCGAGCAGGUUUCAGUGAAGACUACUGAUCUAGAAGUGACGUAUGUUCAUGAACAAUUUUCUGCUGCUGAAAUAAGUCCAGAGCAGGCUUCAGUGAGGACUACUGAUCUAGAAGCUGUAUGUUCAUGAACAAUUUUCUAUUGCUCUGACUAAACGGAUUGUCUCUGUAAUUCUUGUAUGUUUGGGUGGUGCCCAGCUACCAAUAGAAGACAAGCCGUCUUCUUGCUGAACAACGCCACAAUUGUGUAGUUGUAUGUUAUUUAGGAUUGUCUCUGUUGCAUACGACCUGGGGUUACAAGAGGUCCGGUACUAAUUUUGUGUAUGUAUCUCUUCUAUAUACACAUGAUUUCAAAGCAUAUUUUAUAGUA
Aegilops tauschii subsp. strangulata is the source of this 2664-nucleotide non-coding RNA. Lineage: Eukaryota; Viridiplantae; Streptophyta; Magnoliopsida; Poales; Poaceae. The record is from RefSeq and is a predicted model, not a curated record.